GACGAACGCUGGCGGCGUGCUUAACACAUGCAAGUCGAGCGGUAAGGCCCUUUCGGGGGUACACGAGCGGCGAACGGGUGAGUAACACGUGGGUGACCUGCCCUUAGCUCUGGGAUAAGCCUGGGAAACUGGGUCUAAUACCGGAUAUGACUCCAUGACGCACGUUGUGGGGUGGAAAGCCUUGUGCGGCUAGGGAUGGGCCCGCGGCCUAUCAGCUUGUUGGUGGGGUGAUGGCCUACCAAGGCGACGACGGUAGCCGGCCUGAGAGGGCGACCGGCCACACUGGGACUGAGACACGGCCCAGACUCCUACGGGAGGCAGCAGUGGGGAAUCUUGCGCAAUGGGCGAAAGCCUGACGCAGCGACGCCGCGUGGGGAUGACGGCCUCGGUU
This 391-nucleotide ribosomal RNA is filed under the name uncultured bacterium. Its description in RNAcentral is "bacterial SSU rRNA". It matches the Rfam family "Bacterial small subunit ribosomal RNA", at positions 28 to 424 of the family's 1533-position model. The record is from RNAcentral.